GUCAUUGUAGCUUAUUUUUUUAAAAGCACGGCACUGAAGAUGCUGAGAUGAGGAACAGAAAAACCUCCACAGACA
Molecule: transfer RNA, 75 nt
Filed under: Teira dugesii (Madeira wall lizard)
Lineage: Eukaryota; Metazoa; Chordata; Lepidosauria; Squamata; Lacertidae
Description: tRNA-Phe
Rfam family: tRNA
About the family: Transfer RNA (tRNA) molecules are approximately 80 nucleotides in length.
Source: RNAcentral